This 590-nucleotide ribosomal RNA is filed under the name uncultured archaeon. Its description in RNAcentral is "bacterial SSU rRNA". It matches the Rfam family "Archaeal small subunit ribosomal RNA", at positions 265 to 856 of the family's 1478-position model. The record is from RNAcentral.
CGGUACGGGUAGUGGGAGCUAUAGCCCGGAGAUGGGGACUGAGACACGGCCCCAGGCUCUACGGAGCGCAGCAGGCGCGAAAACUUCGCAAUGCCCGAAAGGGUGACGAGGGGAUCCCAAGUGUCAGCGAAAUACGUUGACUUUUCUCAAGUGUAAAUAGCAUGAGGAAUAAGGAGAGGGCAAGGCUGGUGCCAGCCGCCGCGGUAAUACCAGCUCUUCAAAUGGUGGCCGCUUCUAUUGGGCUUAAAGCGUUCGUAGCUGGAUUUAUAAGUCCUUAGCGAAAUUUUAUCGCUCAACUUUAGAACGUGCUGAGGAUACUGUAUAUCUUGAGACCGGGAGAGGCUAGAGGUACUCCUAGGGUAGGGGUGAAAUCCGUUAAUCCUAGGGGGACCACCUGUGGUGAAGACGUCUAGCUGGAACGGGUCUGACAGUGAGGAACGAAACCUAGGGGAGCAAACUGGAUUAGAUACCCAGGUAGUCCUAGGUGUAAACGAUAUGGGCCAGGUGUCACGCGAUCUAAGUGAUCAUGUGGUGCCGAAAGGAAACUGUUAAGCCCAUCGCCUGGGGAGUACGGUCGCAAGGCUGAAACU